This 580-nucleotide ribosomal RNA is filed under the name uncultured fungus. RNAcentral describes it as "eukaryotic LSU rRNA". It matches the Rfam family "Eukaryotic large subunit ribosomal RNA", at positions 23 to 543 of the family's 3401-position model. The record is from RNAcentral. Lineage: Eukaryota; Fungi.
ACCCGCUGAACUUAAGCAUAUUACUAAGCGGAGGAAAAGAAACCAACGGGGAUUCCCAUAGUAACUGCGAGUGAAAUGGGAAGAGCCCAGCGCUGAAUCCGAGGGUCGGCAACGGUCCUUGGAGUUGUAGCGUGAAGGUGGUUCUAAUUCGUGCGGCUGGCUAGCGUAAGUUCUCCUGAGUGAGACUCCAUGCCAUGGAGGGUGCAAGCCCCGUAUCGUUGGCAGCCUGUGCGAAUAUAAGACUACCAGAGAGUCGCCUUGUUUGCGAGUACAAGGUGAAGUCGGUGGUAAACGCCAUCGAAGGCUAAAUAUGACCACGAGUCCGAUAGCGAACAAGUACAGUGAUGGAAAAUUGAAAAGCACUUUGAAGAGAGAGUGAAACAGUGCGUGAAACCGCUCAGAGGCAAGCAGUUGGGGCCUCGAAGGCAGAGCAGUGAAUUCAGUCGACAGUCCGUGAGACUGGCGGGUGUGAGAUUGCAAAACUCUGCCCGUUAGUAAGUAGCGGCUGUUGAUGCACUUUUGCUGCUCGUACGCCUCCGCCGUUGAGUGUGUGCGUCCGUUCGGUUUGCGCUGUGGAGCC